CGGGCAUCGUAUAAUGGCUAUUACCUCAGCCUUCCAAGCUGAUGAUGCGGGUUCGAUUCCCGCUGCCCGCUCCA
RNAcentral lists this transfer RNA (74 nucleotides) under Klebsiella pneumoniae. RNAcentral describes it as "tRNA-Gly". It matches the Rfam family "tRNA". Rfam says of the family: Transfer RNA (tRNA) molecules are approximately 80 nucleotides in length. Their secondary structure includes four short double-helical elements and three loops (D, anti-codon, and T loops). Lineage: Bacteria; Pseudomonadati; Pseudomonadota; Gammaproteobacteria; Enterobacterales; Enterobacteriaceae. The record is from RNAcentral. RNAcentral also lists the same sequence under 1 other name.